GAGAACAAGCUCAAGGAAAUCCGAGUUUUCACAGUUGUAUUGCUGGAUCUGACUGUGGCCCGCAGCCAUGAGCAAUAAACUUACUUAAAGUCACCCCAGGAAAGAAAACUAUCAAGAAAUUGGACUCGUCUAUACAGAGAUGCACGAUUUCUCCUUCAGCUCAGCUUCUCCCCAAGCGGCCACCUAUAACCACAGCCUCAGCGUUUGUGUGCCCCUGGGGACCCGGCAGACGAGGAUUUCCUCUGCGCUUCUGCUCCUGGCCUGCUGUGGGGCUGUAGGAAGUCAUUUUGCAGCUGUCUGCCUCAGUUUCCCCCACACGCAGACUCUUGAUCCCCGCGCGAGGGAGGGAGGCAGCCAGCGCCGGUGCCUUGCUGCACAGCCCUGCCGAGAUCCCCACCAGUGCUUCCCCCAGCGAAUCCCCCCCGAGGCAAGCAGCAAGAAAAGUCCCCACCACCUGCAUUUUUGGGGCCAGACUUUCUUCAUGGAGAACUGCUUGCAAGAAACACAUUAUGCUCUGGAGUCUGGUGGCCCUAAAUAUUAG
RNAcentral lists this long non-coding RNA (541 nucleotides) under Cairina moschata (Muscovy duck). RNAcentral describes it as "domestica (muscovy Duck (domestic type)) lncRNA (ENSCMMG00000016979.1)". The record is from RNAcentral. Lineage: Eukaryota; Metazoa; Chordata; Aves; Anseriformes; Anatidae.